Molecule: ribosomal RNA, 479 nt
Filed under: uncultured bacterium
Lineage: Bacteria
Description: partial 16S ribosomal RNA
Rfam family: Bacterial small subunit ribosomal RNA
Source: RNAcentral
GACGAACGCUGGCGGCGUGCUUAACACAUGCAAGUCGAGCGAUGAAGCACCUUCGGGUGUGAAUUAGCGGCGAACGGGUGAGGAACACGUGAGAAAUCUGCCUUCAACACUGGGAUAACUCCGGGAAACCGGGGCUAAUACCGGAUAUGAAACCUGCGGGCAUCCGCGGGUUUGGAAAGUUUUUCGGUUGAAGAUGAUCUCGCGGCCUAUUAGCUUGUUGGUGAGGUAAUGGCUCACCAAGGCGACGACGGGUAGCCGGCCUGAGAGGGCGACCGGCCACCAUGGGACUGAUAAACGGCCGAGACUCCUCCGGGAGGCGGCAGUGGGGAAUAUUGGGCAAGGGAGGAAACUCUGCCCCAGCGACGCCGCGUGCGAGAUGAAGGCCUUCGGGUUGUAAACCGCUUUCGACAGGGAAGAAGCGAAAGUGACGGUACCUGCAGAAGAAGCACCGGCUAACUAUGUGCCAGCAGCCGCCGUAA